Molecule: non-coding RNA, 29 nt
Filed under: Bombyx mori (domestic silkworm)
Lineage: Eukaryota; Metazoa; Arthropoda; Insecta; Lepidoptera; Bombycidae
Source: RNAcentral
CAACGUGUCGUCCGCGUAACAAAUAACGC